RNAcentral lists this long non-coding RNA (497 nucleotides) under Phoenix dactylifera (date palm). RNAcentral describes it as "long non-coding RNA (PDAC_LNC021945)". The record is from RNAcentral. Lineage: Eukaryota; Viridiplantae; Streptophyta; Magnoliopsida; Arecales; Arecaceae.
UUUUUUUGUGAUGAUAAGGGAGUUAAAAGAAGCCAUCUGACCAUUAAUGAUAAGGAAGAAAUCUUCAAGGCCCCAAAACCAAACUUGGAGGUGGGUAACCUCGUCACCCUCUCCUCCCCUCGGCUCCCCAUUCGGGCGACUCUCAAUUACGAGCAACUUUCACAAUCACGGGCGACUUUCGCAAUCACGAGCGACUUCCAUGGCCAUAUAAAGAAUAUGCAUAUUAGUUUGAUCAAAGAGUCACCUUCACAUCUCUUGAAAACUCUGAGUUUGAAGCCUCUACAAUCGCUAGCAUGCCAAAGCAUCUCUGCUCCAAAGCAAUACUUCUUCCCUGGGUCUAUAAAUAGGGCUCUCCAAUCCCCAUUUUGGUACCAACCAGCAGAACUAGAGACCAUGUACGGAACACCUAGAGAGCCAUAUUAACUAUGGAUCCUAGCCGUAGGCAAAUCCACUACCAAUCCCUCCCUCUGAAUCAUCUAUCAAUCAACCUUCUCCUA